This 494-nucleotide ribosomal RNA is filed under the name uncultured bacterium. Its description in RNAcentral is "partial 16S ribosomal RNA". It matches the Rfam family "Bacterial small subunit ribosomal RNA", at positions 28 to 507 of the family's 1533-position model. The record is from RNAcentral.
GACGAACGCUGGCGGCGUGCUUAACACAUGCAAGUCGAACGGUGAAGCGCCUUCCUUUUUGGUGGGUGUGGAUGAGUGGCGAACGGGUGAGUAACACGUGAGUAACCUGCCCCCUUCUUCUGGAUAACCGCAUGAAAGUGUGGCUAAUACGGGAUAUUCUGGGUCUGUCGCAUGAUGGGUCUGGGAAAGAUAUUGCUUCGGUGGGGGAUGGGCUCGCGGCCUAUCAGCUUGUUGGUGGGGUGAUGGCCUACCAAGGCGGUGACGGGUAGCCGGCCUGAGAGGGUGGACGGUCACACGGGGACGGAGACACGGCCCAGACUCCUACGGGAGGCAGCAGUGGGGAAUAUUGCACAAUGGGCGCAAGCCUGAUGCAGCGACGCCGCGUGAGGGAUGGAGGCCUUCGGGUUGUGAACCUCUUUCGCCAGUGAAGCAGGCCUGCCUCGUUUGUGGGUGGGUUGACGGUAGCUGGAUAAGAAGCGCCGGCUAACUACGUG